UUAAGCGACUAAGCGUACACGGUGGAUGCCUAGGCAGUCAGAGGCGAUGAAGGGCGUGCUAAUCUGCGAAAAGCGUCGGCAAGGUGAUAUGAACCGUUAUACCCGACGAUACCCGAAUGGGGAAACCCAGUGUGAUUCGUCACACUAUCAUUAACUGAAUCCAUAGGUUAAUGAGGCGAACCGGGGGAACUGAAACAUCUCAGUACCCCGAGGAAAAGAAAUCAACCGAGAUUCCCCCAGUAGCGGCGAGCGAACGGGGAGGAGCCCAGAACCUGAAUCGGCUUGUGUGUCAGUGGAAGUGUCUGGAAAGGCGCACGAUACAGGGUGACAGUCCCGUACACGAAGAUGCACAGGUCGUGAGUUCGAUGAGUAGGGCGGGACACGUGGUAUCCUGUCUGAACAUGGGGGGACCAUCCUCCAAGGCUAAAUACUCCUGACUGACCGAUAGUGAACCAGUACCGUGAGGGAAAGGCGAAAAGAACCCCGGCGAGGGGAGUGAAAUAGAACCUGAAACCGUGUACGUACAAGCAGUGGGAGCACCUUUUAGGUGUGACUGCGUACCUUUUGUAUAAUGGGUCAGCGACUUAUAUUCUGUAGCAAGGUUAACCGAAUAGGGGAGCCGCAGGGAAACCGAGUCUUAACUGGGCGUCUAGUUGCAGGGUAUAGACCCGAAACCCGGUGAUCUAGCCAUGGGCAGGUUGAAGGUUGGGUAACACUAACUGGAGGACCGAACCGACUAAUGUUGAAAAAUUAGCGGAUGACUUGUGGCUGGGGGUGAAAGGCCAAUCAAACCGGGAGAUAGCUGGUUCUCCCCGAAAGCUAUUUAGGUAGCGCCUCGUGAAUUCAUCUUCGGGGGUAGAGCACUGUUUCGGCUAGGGGGCCAUCCCGGCUUACCAACCCGAUGCAAACUGCGAAUACCGAAGAAUGUUAUCACGGGAGACACACGGCGGGUGCUAACGUCCGUCGUGAAGAGGGAAACAACCCAGACCGCCAGCUAAGGUCCCAAAGUCAUGGUUAAGUGGGAAACGAUGUGGGAAGGCCCAGACAGCCAGGAUGUUGGCUUAGAAGCAGCCAUCAUUUAAAGAAAGCGUAAUAGCUCACUGGUCGAGUCGGCCUGCGCGGAAGAUGUAACGGGGCUAAAACCAUGCACCGAAGCUGCGGCAGCGACACUAUGUGUUGUUGGGUAGGGGAGCGUUCUGUAAGCCUGUGAAGGUGGCCUGUGAGGGCUGCUGGAGGUAUCAGAAGUGCGAAUGCUGACAUAAGUAACGAUAAUGCGGGUGAAAAACCCGCACGCCGGAAGACCAAGGGUUCCUGUCCAACGUUAAUCGGGGCAGGGUGAGUCGACCCCUAAGGCGAGGCUGAAAAGCGUAGUCGAUGGGAAACAGGUUAAUAUUCCUGUACUUGGUGUUACUGCGAAGGGGGGACGGAGAAGGCUAUGUCAUCCGGGCGACGGUUGUCCCGGUUUAAGCGUGCAGGUGGGUGGACCAGGUAAAUCCGGUCUGCUGUUAACACUGAGGCGUGAUGACGAGGCACUACGGUGCUGAAGUGACAGAUGCCCGGCUUCCAGGAAAAGCCUCUAAGCAUCAGGUAACAUUGAAUCGUACCCCAAACCGACACAGGUGGUCAGGUAGAGAAUACUCAGGCGCUUGAGAGAACUCGGGUGAAGGAACUAGGCAAAAUGGUGCCGUAACUUCGGGAGAAGGCACGCUCCUGUUGGUGAAGUCCCUUGCGGAUGGAGCUGAGGGGAGUCGCAGAUACCAGCUGGCUGCAACUGUUUAAUAAAAACACAGCACUGUGCAAACACGAAAGUGGACGUAUACGGUGUGACGCCUGCCCGGUGCCGGAAGGUUAAUUGAUGGGGUUAUCCGUAAGGAGAAGCUCUUGAUCGAAGCCCCGGUAAACGGCGGCCGUAACUAUAACGGUCCUAAGGUAGCGAAAUUCCUUGUCGGGUAAGUUCCGACCUGCACGAAUGGCGUAAUGAUGGCCAGGCUGUCUCCACCCGAGACUCAGUGAAAUUGAACUCGCUGUGAAGAUGCAGUGUACCCGCGGCAAGACGGAAAGACCCCGUGAACCUUUACUAUAGCUUGACACUGAACCUUGAGCCUUGAUGUGUAGGAUAGGUGGGAGGCUUUGAAGUGUGGACGCCAGUCUGCAUGGAGCCAACCUUGAAAUACCACCCUUUAAUGUUUGAUGUUCUAACCUGGGCCCGUAAUCCGGGCUGGGGACAGUGUCUGGUGGGUAGUUUGACUGGGGCGGUCUCCUCCCAAAGAGUAACGGAGGAGCACGAAGGUUAGCUAAUCCUGGUCGGACAUCAGGAGGUUAGUGCAAAGGCAUAAGCUAGCUUGACUGCGAGAGUGACGGCUCGAGCAGGUGCGAAAGCAGGUCUUAGUGAUCCGGUGGUUCUGAAUGGAAGGGCCAUCGCUCAACGGAUAAAAGGUACUCCGGGGAUAACAGGCUGAUACCGCCCAAGAGUUCAUAUCGACGGCGGUGUUUGGCACCUCGAUGUCGGCUCAUCACAUCCUGGGGCUGAAGUAGGUCCCAAGGGUAUGGCUGUUCGCCAUUUAAAGUGGUACGCGAGCUGGGUUUAGAACGUCGUGAGACAGUUCGGUCCCUAUCUGCCGUGGGCGUUGGAAGAUUGAGGGGGGUUGCUCCUAGUACGAGAGGACCGGAGUGAACGCACCGCUGGUGUUCGGGUUGUCAUGCCAAUGGCACUGCCCGGUAGCUACGUGCGGAAGAGAUAACCGCUGAAAGCAUCUAAGCGGGAAACUUGCCCCGAGAUGAGUCUUCCCUGGGCCCUUGAGGCCCCUGAAGGGACGUUCGAGACGAGGACGUUGAUAGGCUGGGUGUGUAAGCGUAGCGAUACGUUGAGCUAACCAGUACUAAUGACCCGAGAGGCUUAACCUU
RNAcentral lists this ribosomal RNA (2904 nucleotides) under Dickeya zeae DZ2Q. Its description in RNAcentral is "bacterial LSU rRNA". It matches the Rfam family "Bacterial large subunit ribosomal RNA". The record is from RNAcentral. Lineage: Bacteria; Pseudomonadati; Pseudomonadota; Gammaproteobacteria; Enterobacterales; Pectobacteriaceae.